Molecule: long non-coding RNA, 1708 nt
Organism: Marmota monax (woodchuck)
Lineage: Eukaryota; Metazoa; Chordata; Mammalia; Rodentia; Sciuridae
Exons: 3
Source: RefSeq, a predicted model, not a curated record
GGUCAACAGCACGAAUUUUCGUGUGCUGGAUUUUGAACCACUUAAGGAAUAAAUCUGUUUACAAUGAUGCAACCUCUUUUGAAUUAAUAGAAGAUUUUGUACAGCAUUAGUAGAAAGAGCAAAAUGUAUAUUAUUAUAACACUUUAAAAAUUCAUAAAGGUGGCUAUAUGGAAGAGUGACAAAUUGGAGUAACCAUGGAAACUUGUCUUGCAGCAGCCUGUCGGCAUUCUUCUGGUGGAAGCCUGUGACCACCCUGCUCUGCAAGCUCAGCUUGCAGGGCCUGUUUGAUGCCUGGGCUUCUCAAACCUCAUGACACCUGAGUUCUCUCUGUUAUGCAAGGCCAGAAGACACACGGGAUUCCAAUUCCAGGAUUCCCUAUAGGUAGAAGUCACUGGAAGAUGCAGUAGGAUUUUGAGAGCUGGGCUAACCCAGAAGACCACUGCCACAGUCCCACCAGCACCACCAGUUUAUUGGACCCAAAGGAUUCAUUAAUAACAACAGACGGCAGCAAACAGCCUUUGUAUAUCAGCUUACGGUCCAACAGUGUCUCCUACCCUGCACGUUUUCAUGUACGUGGUCUCAUGUAUUUUACCCUCAUAGUUAGAACCCACACCAUUCCCAUCUAGUUUUAAGAUGUAAACUGAGUCCACCAAAUCGCUGCUUUGCCCCGAAUCACACACUAAGUGGAGAUUCUGGAUCCCAAACGCAGGAACUCAAUCCUCACUACAAUCUCUCAUUGCUCAUGAGAUAGCACCAACCCCAGACCCCAGAGAUGGAGCGAGACUUACAGAGGGCAAGGCUCCAGAGAAAAAGGUUCUGUUCAAUACUUUUCCCAUUUCACUCUUGCUGCCACCUCUGUCACUGUUCACAUCACACGCAAACUGUUGACCUCAUUGUUUUAACCAUGAGGGCUAGUUUUUUCUUAUUCAUUUUAAUAUUUCUAGCACCUGACAUAAUGGCUGUAGGCUUCAGUAUAUUCUGAUGAACAAGGACCUUCAAAAUGCCGACUUUCAGUGCAGAAUAAAAGCAGUAUAUUUUUUACUCCAAUGUUUUAACUGAUCCUGUUUUUCAUUUUCACCACACACACGGAUUUCAUGGGCAGUGACUGGCACAAUAUCUCAGAAAUAGAGAAUGAAUUAGUAUGUUUUUAGAACAACUCAUUUUCACUGCUAGCAAUACCAGGCCAAAUAUUCUACUACUCAUUCUAAAACUUGAUAGAGGCACCUUCUUUGGAAGAGUAUACCAUUCUCAGUUUUCUUCCUCACCCACUAAAAUAAAACAAGUCACACUGGACCAGCAAUUUUUUUUGUGUCAAACCAGAUGGCAGUAGUACCUGCCUUUGGAAUCAUGAUAAAUGCAGUCGCCCCACAGAGAAAUUCACUCUGGACCUGGACUCUUGUCGCCAAAUGUUGGCCAAUGCAAACAGCCAUUAAGAGAAAGAAUCCUGAUUUAUUUCUUUAAUUUUCUCAUGCAGACAGAGCAUUUGUGGUUAAAUGGUACCUUAAUUGAAUAAAAACAUUCUGAUUUUUAAGUCUGUAUUUUUCUGACCUUUGUAUAUGAUGGAAGGCCAUUGCAAAUCUGAUCUGGAAAAUCUCCCAGAUUUGAAUAGGUGUUUGCAUCCUAGAAUGCCCUGGAUAUUGUUCUGUGCCCUUAAGGUGGUGAAUACUAUAUGAAAGUAUGUACAGGUGUGUGUGUGUGUGUGUGUGUG